AGAGAUUGCGAUGAGGAUAAAAAGCUCCCUCUUCGGAAAUCUAAAGUUGAGGAUGAAUUGCUGGCAGAAUCGAGCUACUACUUUUUAAGCCACCCCUGAGUAA
This is a small nucleolar RNA of Camellia sinensis, 103 nucleotides long. RefSeq annotates it as small nucleolar RNA R30/Z108. NCBI's taxonomy places the organism in Eukaryota, Viridiplantae, Streptophyta, Magnoliopsida, Ericales, Theaceae. The record is from RefSeq and is a predicted model, not a curated record.